This 62-nucleotide transfer RNA is filed under the name Sinergasilus undulatus. Its description in RNAcentral is "tRNA-Gln". Lineage: Eukaryota; Metazoa; Arthropoda; Copepoda; Poecilostomatoida; Ergasilidae. The record is from RNAcentral.
UAUGUAGUAGUGAUACACGUAAGAUUUUGAUUCUUAAAACCCUAUUAAUUUAGGUUACAUAA